Molecule: long non-coding RNA, 172 nt
Organism: Haliotis rufescens (red abalone)
Lineage: Eukaryota; Metazoa; Mollusca; Gastropoda; Lepetellida; Haliotidae
Exons: 2
Source: RefSeq, a predicted model, not a curated record
CACAAGAAGGUGACCGCCCACCUCCACCAAAUGGAUGCCCUCCACCUUCAGAAGGUAAAAGGCAAGGUGCUAGAGGUCCUGGAGGAAGAAGGCCACCUCCUAAACGCAGGAACUAACCGAUACUCACGAUGACUCCUUCGUAAUAGAUCGCAAUAAAAAAAAUCAAAUCUUU